Molecule: transfer RNA, 62 nt
Filed under: Paratrioza sinica
Lineage: Eukaryota; Metazoa; Arthropoda; Insecta; Hemiptera; Triozidae
Also listed under: 1 other name
Description: tRNA-Thr
Rfam family: tRNA
About the family: Transfer RNA (tRNA) molecules are approximately 80 nucleotides in length. Their secondary structure includes four short double-helical elements and three loops (D, anti-codon, and T loops).
Source: RNAcentral
GUUCAAAUAGUUUAGGUAAAAUAUUAGUCUUGUAAACUAAAGAUAAAUUAUAUUUUUGAAUA